CGGGGAUUAGUUCAGAUGGCUAGAACGCAGCGUUCGGAACGCUGAGGCCGCCAGUUCAAGUCUGGCAUCCCCGA
Molecule: transfer RNA, 74 nt
Filed under: Candidatus Roizmanbacteria bacterium
Lineage: Bacteria; Candidatus Roizmaniibacteriota
Description: tRNA-Pro
Source: RNAcentral